UGCGGUCGAGUCUAGGUUGCGGA
RNAcentral lists this non-coding RNA (23 nucleotides) under Arabidopsis thaliana (thale cress). Lineage: Eukaryota; Viridiplantae; Streptophyta; Magnoliopsida; Brassicales; Brassicaceae. The record is from RNAcentral.